AGGGAAUAUUGCGCAAUGGAGGGAACUCUGACGCAGCGACGCCGCGUGAGCGAUGAAGGUCUUCGGAUCGUAAAGCUCUGUCCUUGGGGAAGAAGGGAGCCGUAAGGCUUCUUGACGGUACCCAUGGAGGAAGCCCCGGUUAACUACGUGCCAGCAGCCGCGGUAAUACGUAGGGGGCAAGCGUUGUCCGGAAUUAUUGGGCGUAAAGGGUGCGUAGGCGGCCCUUUAAGUCAGAUGUGAAAGCCCACGGCUUAACCGUGGGACUGCAUUUGAAACUGGAGGGCUUGAGUGUCGGAGAGGGCAGUGGAAUUCCCAGUGUAGCGGUGGAAUGCGUAGAUAUUGGGAGGAACACCAGUGGCGAAGGCGACUGCCUGGACGAUAACUGACGCUGAGGCACGAAAGCUAGGGGAGCAAAC
Molecule: ribosomal RNA, 416 nt
Filed under: uncultured bacterium
Lineage: Bacteria
Description: bacterial SSU rRNA
Rfam family: Bacterial small subunit ribosomal RNA
Source: RNAcentral